Molecule: ribosomal RNA, 429 nt
Filed under: Chloroflexota bacterium
Lineage: Bacteria; Bacillati; Chloroflexota
Description: Chloroflexi bacterium partial 16S ribosomal RNA
Rfam family: Bacterial small subunit ribosomal RNA
Source: RNAcentral
UAGGGAAUCUUCGGCAAUGGACGAAAGUCUGACCGAGCAACGCCGCGUGAGUGAAGAAGGUUUUCGGAUCGUAAAACUCUGUUGUUAGAGAAGAACAAGGACGUUAGUAACUGAACGUCCCCUGACGGUAUCUAACCAGAAAGCCACGGCUAACUACGUGCCAGCAGCCGCGGUAAUACGUAGGUGGCAAGCGUUGUCCGGAUUUAUUGGGCGUAAAGCGAGCGCAGGCGGUUUCUUAAGUCUGAUGUGAAAGCCCCCGGCUCAACCGGGGAGGGUCAUUGGAAACUGGGAGACUUGAGUGCAGAAGAGGGGAGUGGAAUUCCAUGUGUGGCGGUGAAAUGCGUAGAUAUAUGGGGGAACGCCAGUGGAGAAGGCGGCUCUCUGGUCUGUAACUGACGCUGAGGCUCGAAAGCGUGGGGAGCAAACAGG